RNAcentral lists this ribosomal RNA (489 nucleotides) under uncultured bacterium. RNAcentral describes it as "partial 16S ribosomal RNA". It matches the Rfam family "Bacterial small subunit ribosomal RNA", at positions 30 to 506 of the family's 1533-position model. The record is from RNAcentral.
AUUGAACGCUGGCGGCAGGCCUAACACAUGCAAGUCGAACGGUAACAGGAAGAAGCUUGCUUCUUUGCUGACGAGUGGCGGACGGGUGAGUAAUGUCUGGGAAACUGCCUGAUGGAGGGGGAUAACUACUGGAAACGGUAGCUAAUACCGCAUAACGUCGCAAGACCAAAGAGGGGGACCUUCGGGCCUCUUGCCAUCGGAUGUGCCCAGAUGGGAUUAGCUAGUAGGUGGGGUAACGGCUCACCUAGGCGACGAUCCCUAGCUGGUCUGAGAGGAUGACCAGCCACACUGGAACUGAGACACGGUCCAGACUCCUACGGGAGGCAGCAGUGGGGAAUAUUGCACAAUGGGCGCAAGCCUGAUGCAGCCAUGCCGCGUAUAUGAAGAAGGCCUUCGGGUUGUAAAGUACUUUCAGCGGGGAGGAAGGGAGUAAAGUUAAUACCUUUGCUCAUUGACGUUACCCGCAGAAGAAGCACCGGCUAACUCCGU